UGGGGAAUAUUGGACAAUGGGGGCAACCCUGAUCCAGCAAUACCGCGUGUGUGAAGAAGGCCUUCGGGUUGUAAAGCACUUUAGGUUGGGAAGAAGAUGCGUAGUUUAAGAGAUGAUGCAUUUGACGGUACCGACAGAAUAAGCACCGGCUAACUCUGUGCCAGCAGCCGCGGUAAUACAGAGGGUGCAAGCGUUAAUCGGAGUUACUGGGCGUAAAGGGCGCGUAGGCGGUUAUAUAAGUGAGUUGUGAAAGCCCUGGGCUUAACCUAGGAACUGCAACUUAUACUGUAUAGCUAGAGUAUUGUAGAGGGUAGUGGAAUUUCCGGUGUAGCGGUGAAAUGCGUAGAGAUCGGAAGGAACACCAGUGGCGAAGGCGGCUACCUGGACAAAUACUGACGCUGAGGCGCGAAAGCGUGGGGAUCAAACAG
RNAcentral lists this ribosomal RNA (428 nucleotides) under uncultured bacterium. RNAcentral's name for it is "bacterial SSU rRNA". It matches the Rfam family "Bacterial small subunit ribosomal RNA", at positions 355 to 775 of the family's 1533-position model. The record is from RNAcentral.